AGCGGCGGUUCGAGCCGGGACUACCAGCGGGGCGGGGCCGGGACGCCCAGCGGGGCGGGGCCGGGACGCCCAACGGGGCGGGGCCGGGACUUCCGGGCAGGAGGAGCCAGGACAACAGCAGGGCGGGGCCAGGACCUCUUGCCUGGAGGGGUCAGGACCUCCACACCGGCGAGGCCAGGACUUCCGGCUGGGCGUGGUCGGAGCCGAGAGCCCCCGGUUGGGCGGGACGAAGGCUAAUGGUACAGACGUGAGACUGGAGAGGGUUUACAGUACUUACCGUGUCGAGAGAAGUGGGGCAAAGGCCAGGAAGUUUUCUUGGACUUUUAAGCAAAUGCCGAAGACGGCAGCAAAUAGAGCCACCGGCAAGUCCUUUCAGGGGUCCAGCCCAUACAUGUGUUAUAGCUAACCCCAGGACAGCUGAUUCUGCUGGUAUUAUCUGCAUUGUACAGGUGAGAACAGAAGCCAUCACAAGCCACCCUGCUCAAAUCCCAAGAGUCAUCAGAGACAUAAUCCGUUGCUAUGAGAAAGGCGGGAAGCAAUUCAGAAGCCCAGGGGAUUGCUGACCAGCCUUCACAUGUACUGGACACGUGUGAUGGGGGCCUCCUCCGCAGGAAAGGCGGCAGGAUAUGUGAGCACACAUUCAGAGAAUGUGGAAUUUUAGAGCAGAGAGCCUGCGUGAGAUUCUCUCCCUUGUUAGAGCUGGGGAAACUGAAGCCCUCGCAGACCAGUCACAGGUUUUCCUUCUUGCUCUUGCAUUGCACACUGCCCAGGAGCAGGCCAGAAUUCUGUGCUCAGAUUCGGCUCCUCCCAUGUGUUCCGGGUAGAGAAGCCAGCACCUCUACCAAGAGGACUGUGUUUUCAGUUCUGGGAUUCUGUCUUCCUGGGAGAUAACUAGAAGCAACCCACUUGAACAUCCCGUUAAAACCUUUGUGAUCACAAUCGCCAUUGCCCUAGAGGAGGCCCUCCCUGCUGAACCAUUAUAACAGUGCAGUGAGGAGGGGCAGGUUACAUCCCACGUUACAGUUGGGAAAUGCUGGGCUCAGAGAGGCAUAGUGACCUGCCCAGUGCUACCCAGCUAGGAAGGGGCAGCAGGAAGCUCUCACCUCAUUCUCUGAUUCCAAACCAUGUGCUUCCCCUGCUCCCAAAUGUGUGUUUGUUUGAAGGGAGGGUGGACAGAGGGAGAAGUAACAGACAUCGAUUACCUACUCUGUGCCCAGGAUUGUA
This is a long non-coding RNA of Ailuropoda melanoleuca (giant panda), 1224 nucleotides long. RefSeq lists it as uncharacterized. NCBI's taxonomy places the organism in Eukaryota, Metazoa, Chordata, Mammalia, Carnivora, Ursidae. The transcript is spliced from 3 exons. The record is from RefSeq and is a predicted model, not a curated record.